CUCCAGACUCCUACGGGAGGCAGCAGUGGGGGAUAUUGCACAAUGGGGGGAACCCUGAUGCAGCGACGCCGCGUGGGUGAAGGAGUGCUUCGGCAUGUAAAGCCCUAUCGGCAGGGAAGAAGCAAGACGGUACCUGACUAAGAAGCCCCGGCUAACUACGUGCCAGCAGCCGCGGUAAUACGUAGGGGGCAAGCGUUAUCCGGAUUUACUGGGUGUAAAGGGCGUGUAGCCGGGAAGGCAAGUCAGAUGUGAAAUCCGGAGGCUCAACCUCCGAAUUGCAUUUGAAACUGUUUUUCUUGAGUACUGGAGAGGCAGACGGAAUUCCUUGUGUAGCGGUGAAAUGCGUAGAUAUAAGGAGGAACACCAGUGGCGAAGGCGGCUUACUGGACUGUAACUGACGUUGAGGCUCGAAAGCGUGGGGAGCAAACAGGAUUAGAUACCCUAGUAGC
Molecule: ribosomal RNA, 449 nt
Filed under: uncultured bacterium
Lineage: Bacteria
Description: bacterial SSU rRNA
Rfam family: Bacterial small subunit ribosomal RNA
Source: RNAcentral